CACGUAGUUAGCCGUGGCUUCCUCCUCAGGUACCGUCAUCAUCGUCCCUGAAGACAGAGCUUUACAACCCGAAGGCCGUCAUCACUCACGCGGCGUUGCUGCAUCAGGGUUUCCCCCAUUGUGCAAUAUUCCCCACUGCUGCCUCCCGUAGGAGUCUGGGCCGUGUCUCAGUCCCAAUGUGGCCGAUCACCCUCUCAGGUCGGCUACGCAUCGUCGCCUUGGUGAGCCGUUACCUCACCAACUAGCUAAUGCGCCGCGGGCCCAUCUCAUAGCGGAUUGCUCCUUUAAUUGCUACUUCAUGCGAAGCUACAAUCUUAUGCGGUAUUAAUCUCCCUUUCGGAAGGCUAUUCCCCUCUAUGAGGCAGGUUGCCCACGUGUUACUCACCCGUCCGCCGCUAGCUUUGUUCCGAAGAACUCCACUCGCUCGACUUGCAUGUGUUAGGCACGCCGCCAGCGUUCGUCCUGAGCCAGGAUCAAACUCU
RNAcentral lists this ribosomal RNA (482 nucleotides) under uncultured Clostridium sp. RNAcentral describes it as "partial 16S ribosomal RNA". The record is from RNAcentral. Lineage: Bacteria; Bacillati; Bacillota; Clostridia; Eubacteriales; Clostridiaceae.